GACAACAUGUCCGAGUGGUUAAGGAGCCAGACUUGAAAUCUGGUGGCUUCGGCCGCGUAGGUUCGAACCCUGCUGUUGUCG
This 81-nucleotide transfer RNA is filed under the name Colletotrichum tofieldiae. RNAcentral describes it as "tRNA-Ser". It matches the Rfam family "tRNA". From Rfam's summary of the family: Transfer RNA (tRNA) molecules are approximately 80 nucleotides in length. Their secondary structure includes four short double-helical elements and three loops (D, anti-codon, and T loops). Further hydrogen bonds mediate the characteristic L-shaped molecular structure. tRNAs have two regions of fundamental functional importance: the anti-codon, which is responsible for specific mRNA codon recognition, and the 3' end, to which the tRNAs corresponding amino acid is attached (by aminoacyl-tRNA synthetases). tRNAs cope with the degeneracy of the genetic code in two manners: having more than one tRNA (with a specific anti-codon) for a particular amino acid; and 'wobble' base-pairing, i.e. permitting non-standard base-pairing at the 3rd anti-codon position. Lineage: Eukaryota; Fungi; Ascomycota; Sordariomycetes; Glomerellales; Glomerellaceae. The record is from RNAcentral.